This 86-nucleotide transfer RNA is filed under the name human gut metagenome. It matches the Rfam family "tRNA". From Rfam's summary of the family: Transfer RNA (tRNA) molecules are approximately 80 nucleotides in length. RNAcentral also lists the same sequence under 2 other names. The record is from RNAcentral.
GAGAAAUACCCAAGUGGUUGAAGGGGCUGGCUUGGAAAGCUAGUAGACUUGUAACAGGGUGCGAGGGUUCAAAUCCCUCUUUCUCC